RNAcentral lists this long non-coding RNA (1846 nucleotides) under Hordeum vulgare. Its description in RNAcentral is "long non-coding RNA (HVUL_LNC010519)". The record is from RNAcentral. Lineage: Eukaryota; Viridiplantae; Streptophyta; Magnoliopsida; Poales; Poaceae.
UUAUUAUGGAUCCUCCAACAUAUGAUGCUUGUUUAGAACCUUUUGCUAGCCAAAACUUGGUACUAAGUAGAGAUACUACUUGUGCAUCCUAAUCCUUGAGCCAAGUUUAUUUCAUGAGAGUCCACCAUACCUACCUAUAUAUGGUAUUUCACUGCCAUUCCAAGUAAAUAUUGUAUGUGCCACCUCUAGAACCUUCAAAUAAACAUUUGUUUUGUGUGCUCGUACCUCUCAUGGAGCGAUUAGGGCGUGUUAAUCUCAUGAUGAGUGUUUAUUCACUUGUCAUUGCACGAGAGAGGAUGGUAAAAAGGAUGUCCAGUCCUGCAUAAUACAAAAAAAAAAAAAACAAGAACUCCAACUAGAAAAUUGAUUGUUUAUAGGGCACCCGUGGAUACGGCUAGCCAUGGAAAGUGUUUGAAUGGUUGAGGGAGAGUAAAAUUUCAAUUAUGUUUGGAAACCGCCAAUAAUGUGAUUAGCAUGGAAGAUAUUCAAAUCCCUCGUCAUGACGUUGACAAGAAAGGCACACCACCCAAAAUAUAUUCAUCUCUGUUUUAAGAAAUUAUCUCUGGCACCUCUGCACAUCCCUGAUUCUCGUGAAGGGACAAUCUAUUUACUUUUAUGUUAUUUACUUUCAUGUUGAGUCAACUUCUUAUUCCAACUUCAAUCUAUUAGUUGGCAAGCAUCAUGUGGUGGUGAAGAUCCAGGCAUAUAUAUCCAGUCAGAUAUAUUUGAUCAUGAUUCAUUAAUGUUGACUAUUAUCUUUAUGCUAAGUGCGUUGGGAGGCGAAACAUUAAGCCCCUAUCUUCCUCUGUGUUCGAUGGAUGCUAUUUCUUCUAAAAAAUAUGCUUUUAGUAUUAGCAAUCAUAGAAGACUAUAUGAUAAUUGAGUAUGUGGACCUCCUACUUAGACUUUGCUGAAAAUAAUAUGCAUUGAAAUUGUUUGAUGACUAAGAAGAUAAGUUGUUAAGUUUCAAUAGAAUGCAUUGUUUGAACCAUGACAUGUGAAUUCACUACUACUCUAUCUUGAUGUGUUUUAUAAGAAAUAGUUGUUGUUUUAUGAUGCUAGAAAAGUGUUUGGAAUUAUCAUUGAUCAAAAGUAUACACUAUGCUAGCAUUCACACUUCAUAAAUUACUUCUUUUAUCAUUUACCUACUCGAGAACGAGUAGAAAUUAAGCUUGGGGAUGCUGAUAGGUCUCCAACGUAUUGAUAAAUAGAACUAACCCGGACUGACGUUAUAUGAUUUUGAUGCACUUUAUAUGAUUUAAUUAAAACUAACCCGGACUGACGUUGUUUUCAGCAGAAUUACCAUGAUGUUGUUUUUGUGUAGAAAAUAAAAGUUCUCGGAAGCACCCGAAACUUUUUGAUGAUUUUUUCUAGAAGAUAUCAGAAAUAUUGGAGUGAAGAAUCACCGGAGGGGGGCCACUAGGUGCCACGAAGCCAUAAGGGUGCAGCCAACCUGUGGGCACACCUUGAUAACUUAGGACCACCUCAUGGCUACGUUUGACGUAAUUCCAACACUGAAAAUCCUAUAUAUUGGGAAACCCCCAAAAGUUAAGCUAGAACUUCCGCUCCAUCGCCGCAACUCUCUGUAUAGAAGAAAUAACAUCCAGAGCCAUUUCUGGCACUCUGCUGGAGGGGGCAAUCAUCACCGAAGGCCAUCUACAUCAUCUUAGAGGUAUCCAUGUUGAAGAGGGAGUAGUUCAUCCUCAGGGCUGAGGGUAUGUACCACUAGCUAUGCGUUUGAUCUCUCUGUCUCUCUCUCUCUCUCUCUCUCUCGUGUUCUUAGAUGUCAUGAUCUUGAUCUAUCACACGCUUUGUUAAUGUAGUUGGAUCAUAUGAUGUUUUCCCU